UCCGGUUGAUCCUGCCGGCGGUCACUGCUAUCGAGUUUCGACUAAGCCAUGCGAGUCACAGGCCGAAAGGUACUGGCGGACGGCUCAGUAACACGCGGAUAAUCUACCCUCAGGUGGGGUAUACCCUUGGGAAACUGAGGCUAAUCCCCCAUAGGUCCUGUAAACUGGAAUGUUUUAGGACUGAAAGUCACGGCGCCUGAGGAUGAGUCUGCGGCCUAUCAGGUAGUAGGUGGGGUAAAGGCCCACAUAGCCUAUGACGGGUACGGGCCCUGAGAGGGGUAGCCCGGAGAUGGGUUCUGAGACACGAACCCAGGCCCUACGGGGCGCAGCAGGCGCGAAACCUUCGCAAUGCGCGCAAGCGCGACGAGGGGAACUCGAGUGCUAUUAUCCUUUUGGGUGAUAGCUUUUCUCGAUCCUAAAAAGAUCGGGGAAUAAAAGCUGGGUAAGACGGGUGCCAGCCGCCGCGGUAAUACCCGCAGCUCAAGUGGUGGCCACUAUUAUUGAGCCUAAAGCGUCCGUAGCCGGUCUUGUAAAUCUCUGGGUAAAUCCCAUCGCUCAACGGUGGGAAGACUGGAGAGACUGCAAGACUAGGGAUCGGGUGAGGUAAGAGGUACUCCUGGGGUAGGGGUAAAAUCCUGUAAUCCUGGGGGGACGACCGGUGGCGAAGGCGUCUUACUAGAACGACUCCGACGGUGAGGGGCGAAGGCUAGGGGAGCAAACCGGAUUAGAUACCCGGGUAGUCCUAGCUGUAAACGCUGCCCACUUGGUGUUGCCCUUUCGUAGGGAAGGGGCAGUGCCGGAGCGAAGGUGUUAAGUGGGCCGCUUGGGGAGUAUGGUCGCAAGGCUGAAACUUAAAGGAAUUGGCGGGAGAGCACCGCAACGGGAGGAGCGUGCGGUUUAAUUGGAUUCAACGCCGGG
RNAcentral lists this ribosomal RNA (918 nucleotides) under uncultured archaeon. RNAcentral describes it as "bacterial SSU rRNA". It matches the Rfam family "Archaeal small subunit ribosomal RNA", at positions 1 to 922 of the family's 1478-position model. The record is from RNAcentral.